CUCCAUUGUAAAGCCGCAAUGUGAAGCAAUAGCUAUACAAAAUGUCAACCAAGUGAACAGCUAACAAUGGCGAUGGUUCUGUAGAAAGAAGAAGCUUCUUAAUUGGGGUUAGCGGACCUUCAGGGCCAGGGGGAAUCUCUCUAGAAUGGCCACCCACAUCGUCAUCCUGAUUUGAUGAUGAUGCUUCCUGCUCAACAAUAGGUUGUACAAGUUGAGUUCCAUCCUUACUGAGAGAGGUUGAUCUGGCAGAAGGCUUCAACCACCAUGGAUCCCAAGGCUCAAU
RNAcentral lists this unclassified non-coding RNA (283 nucleotides) under Hevea brasiliensis (rubber tree). The record is from RNAcentral. Lineage: Eukaryota; Viridiplantae; Streptophyta; Magnoliopsida; Malpighiales; Euphorbiaceae.